GUUGAAACACAUGUUCUCGUACGAUCGCCGAAGUUAAGCAGCGUUGAGCCUGGUCAGUACCUAGAUUAGUGACCGUUUGGUAAUGC
Molecule: non-coding RNA, 86 nt
Organism: Acanthosepion pharaonis
Lineage: Eukaryota; Metazoa; Mollusca; Cephalopoda; Sepiida; Sepiidae
Source: the annotation of a GenBank genome assembly